CCUACGGGAGGCAGCAGUAGGGAAUAUUGCUCAAUGGGGGAAACCCUGAAGCAGCAACGCCGCGUGGAGGAUGAAGGUUUUCGGAUUGUAAACUCCUUUUGUUAGAGAAGAUACUGACGGUAUCUAACGAAUAAGCACCGGCUAACUCCGUGCCAGCAGCCGCGGGAAUACGGAGGGUGCAAGCGUUACUCGGAAUCACUGGGCGUAAAGAGCGCGUAGGCGGGAUAGCAAGUCAGAUGUGAAAUCCUAUGGCUUAACCAUAGAACUGCAUUUGAAACUGUUAUUCUAGAGUAUGGGAGAGGUAGGUGGAAUUCGUGGUGUAGGGGUAAAAUCCGUAGAGAUCAAGAAGAAUACUCAUUGCGAAGGCGACCUGCUAGAACAUAACUGACGCUGAUGCGCGAAAGCGUGGGGAGCAAACAGGAUUAGAUACCCUAGUAGUC
This 440-nucleotide ribosomal RNA is filed under the name uncultured bacterium. RNAcentral's name for it is "partial 16S ribosomal RNA". It matches the Rfam family "Bacterial small subunit ribosomal RNA", at positions 338 to 795 of the family's 1533-position model. The record is from RNAcentral.